This is an RNA transcript of Aquila chrysaetos chrysaetos, 4215 nucleotides long. RefSeq lists it as uncharacterized. Lineage: Eukaryota; Metazoa; Chordata; Aves; Accipitriformes; Accipitridae. The transcript has 2 exons. The record is from RefSeq and is a predicted model, not a curated record.
UGCUGGGCAAAAGACCCAUUUAAUCAAUAGGGAACAAGACACAGGCUGAUUCUAGAACACAAAGGGAUGUCAAAAGAGUGAAAUGGAAGUAGCCCUUUAAUCUCUCUCAUGGUAAUUUCAUUCAAGGCGAAAGACACUUUUGCUUUUUAGAGCAAUGCUACCUGCAAAAUUUUCAGAUGGAGGUAUGCUUUUAAAGUUCAUAUGAUCCCUUUAAGCACUGGCAAUACUUAAGAGUACAUGAGAGAGCCUGGCAAGAGCUUGUUCCCAUUGCAUUAUCUAGGGACGAUAAAUCAAGCAUAGAAAGGAAACCUAAUUUAUCCAAGAUGUUAUUUUCAAAGGCUUCUCUGCCUUGAUAAAUAAUAUUUUCCUUUGAGAAGAGCAAUAGGGAAGGAAGUACAAAGAGCAGCUACUGGUCAUGUGUUAAGUUGCUGGAGGGUGCUCAGACAGCUGAGCCACAGACACACUGAAAGCUAUUAAAAGGUAGCUAAGCUUGAUAUUUUUGUGUGUCUGAAAGCCAGCUUUUCCUUCCCCUUCUCCCAUAGAGCUUGCACAGUGAUAUGUAAGUGAACUCAACCUCCUUUUAGUGCUCUCUCCAAGGGGAAUGCAUAUUUUCUCUGUUUCCUAUCCUAGAAAGGUUAAUGUUGAAGUUUUAGAGAAAAGCUCUAAGUUGAAGGGGUUUUUCUUCAAUCUUUAACUCUGAGGUUUCUCAGAAUCCUGGAGGUGGUGUAUUUGGCUUUCAGGAACCUGGUACAGGAUCAGAAAGACUGCAUUCAUCGAGCUUACAGUUCAGUCAUGGUAUUGGCAAAAUAAGACCAGUUGUGCCCUCCUGCACAUGGCAUAAACCCUACAGCUACAUGCUUCAACUCUGUCGUGAUUAUUUAUGACUUGAAUCAAGUUUUGGUGGUCUGUAGAAUGAGCUCCAGCAUCACCACUUAAGAACAGCUCUUGGCUUGUGACCUCUUAGGAAUCCCUGUGGCCCAAAAUCAGUAACCAAGAUGUAAAUCAUGAGUUUUGCCAGCCAUAAUAGACAAUAUACAAUGGGAAAAAAUACAAGAAGAGAAGAGGGGAAAGCAUGUUGGAACUGGAAGCAAUUAUUGGUCUUACCAUGAAGAGCUCUAAUAAACUGGCUGGUUCCUAGUUUACAGAAAGUAUGGCACAAGGCACUCAGAAGUCUUUUUUGUAGCUGUUAGUUACUUCUUCCACUCUGCAUCUUCUCAAUAUGAUCAUCCAUUCACAUUUUUCUUGGGAAAUGAGUACAAAAUUUAUGUACGAAUCUUUGAAAAGUUAUGGAUACAAACUGUGCCUCUUUCCCUGGCAUAAUAGUCACUCUGACAUUUGAGUAACAUGAAAUCUUUUGGGACAGGAGUGUUUGUUUCAGUCCCAUCAAAGGCUGGCCUCCAAGAAAUCAAAAACUAAAAAUAUGAAAUGCCAAUGCAGUCAUCUCCUUCAUCCCAAACCAAAGGAGAUGUAAGGUAGCAGUCUAAACUGGAGAUGCAGAAAUUCCAUGACACCCAGUGCAUGGGUGGGACAGUGGGACUGCCUGCAGCGGCUGCUUACACACCAUUUCGGGGCACAGAGUGGUAUAAAAGACAUGAAGGCAGUGAGUGCCCACAAUUGACCAUCAAGGCAAUGAGGGAACAGCCUUGAAAGAUGGUGGGAAUUCAUUCUGGGUUCCCUUGUGAUAAAAUUGGCUUCACUGGCUCGUGGCCAUGGCAGGGAGCCCAGUGGAGAGUGGGCAGGGCAGAGCUGCAUGCACUGCAGGUUUUCAACGAUGGCAACUUGAGUGGGUCAACUGGUGAAUAAGGGCUUUAAAAAUUAGUCUAGUGUUUUUCUAAUGUUUGAUGAUGCACAAUGUGUGCUAGAGAUGUGCAGUGGCGUCGGGAGCAAAGCUGAGAGGCUUUGUAGCCUCUCCCUGGGAUGCAGAGGAAAUGUCAAGCUGUCCUUAGCUUGGAAGCGAAAAGGUUACACUGAAUUAGGAAAUCAGCACUGACUGAAUGACUUUUUCUCCCCCUUAAGUCCAACAAAAUGUCAAGAGCCUGCAGCACAAGGAGGGAGGCCUGGGGGAGCCUGGCUCCUGGGGGUGCCAGAGGUGGGGCCGGGACCAUGGGAGAGCCAAAAGGACCCUGGGGGCAGGGGUCUGCAGGGGCACAGGGCUGGGACGCAGACCCCCUCAUGCCCGGUGGCCCCCAGCUGCAGCAGAGCGAGGACCUGAGCACACGCACCCCUGUGUCGUGAGCCGGAGCUGCCUGCCCUCCUGGGAGGAGCAGGUGGAAACCCUGUGCUUUGAUGUCUGUCUCCAGCUGAUAAAUAGGGUAGCGUAACUGAAGGAAACAGUUAGUCAGAGAGGAAAGUCAAAGGAAAUAAUGACUCAUGACUUGGCAGCUGAGAAAGUGCCAUCCGAGCCCUCUGCUUUCCCGUAGAACCGGUCCUAGCGGUGCAAAUGUGAGCUCCUUUUCCCUGGUUCCUCCUGCCUCCCUGGGAGCUGCAGUCCAAUGUGAGUGGCACCACCAGAAAGCUGGGGGGGCUCUUCUUCUCUGAGAAGGAUAUGGUUGGGUGAAACAUAGGCACGAUGCCACCCUGAAACACGUUCCACCCUCCAAGCCUACUGCAGACUGUUAUUGUUUGCCAUGCUCUAUGGUGAUUUCAGCUUUAAUAGGAUUUCUAGACAGACAGAAAUUAAUACCAGCCUCUGGUUACCUGGACAGGGUGAUCUGGUGUUGCCUUUGUGAAACUGCCUGAUCUGGGACUAGCACCAGACUAUAUUCCAAUGUAAAGUCUAACACAAUAAUUUCUCCUGGACGUAAUAAUACACCACAGAGCUUGUUGAUGUCAGAAAACAGACACAGGAUAAACUGUCCCAAAGAUGGAUUUUGAAGUGCACCCACCUCCAAAACCAUACCUCACGGUAGCAGCAGCAGCAUUCUGCGAAGAGUCACAAACUGCACCAAAGCGGAUUGGUAUCACAAGUGUCACUGCUCUUUAACACAGAUAGUCUUCAGUGCCAAAAAUUUUUAACUUCUGAAAAAGAUAUACUUAGUGUAACUAUAAAUUUUUUUGACUUUUUCUAUAAAUGAGGUGAAUUAAGUGUAAUUGGAAGCAUCUGCUCCUAUUUUGGCACCCGAUAUAGCGUGGUAUUCUGCAUCUCCUGGAAGACACUCUCCUUCUUCAACUCCCACUAGAUCCAGCUAAAAAUAGUCACUCUAAAUCACAUUCUCUCAGGCAAAAGUGCUCUUCAGCUCUCAGGAUUUGCCCCUCCAUGCUAAACAAUGGCUACCAGCUUUCUUGCCCUGGCAGGAUCAGGGGGAGGCUCCACGGGCCCCAGGAUGGUGCCGUGGAGAAGCCCCAUUUUGUCCGAGCAGCACGUGCUGUCACCAGUGCCUCACCUGGGCAGUGGUUGUGGUCAAUGAUUGGCAAAGCCAUGACAUCAGGGAAAGCCGUGUGGCCCUGGCGCGAGGCAGUGAUGUGUUCUGACAACACUCCAAACUCCUCCAGUGCCACAAAUAUUGCUGUGACGGCAGCCAGGGCAGUGACAGACUCAGGGCCUGAAACAGCUUCCCCAAGUGCCUGGAGGAACAUCUCCUCCUGCUUAACAAAGGCCAGCUUGGUCUGGUUUGAUCUUCGAGCCAUCUCUGCUGCAUGGAGUAGCCACCUCUCCCACCAUGAACAUCAGCCUGGGGCUGCGUCCUCUCCACCACCGGCUGGGGAGCUCCUCCAGCCCUGUGCAACAGCAGUCGUGUUCCUCACGUAGGAAAUGUCACUAUGACUGAGACAAGGCUGAGAACAUAUGGAGAAAUAAAGAUGAAUAACCUGGUAAGUAUGUUGCAGUUACAUUAGACCCAUGAUUGGAAACUCAGAGAAUUCAAUUAAACCUAAAAACUAAAAAGAACUUUGAAGCUGUGAAGAAAGUCAGGGUAUUUACUCAGAUUUCUUUGUCUUAUCCCACACUAAUGCCAGUGGUCCUUUCUUUCAGAAAGUGCUCCAGGGUAUGAAACAGUUAAACCACAAAAUACCCAAGCCAGGAAAUGGCAACCUCUGAAGGUCUAAAAGACCAUGGUAGCCCAAAUAUUAAGGGCAUUUUUUCUUCCGAGUGGGAAUGAAACAGCUCUAACGUUGUGUCUUUCUUGCUCUGCUAAGGCUGUCCUUCUCCGGCAUGAGGGCUGGGGCCAGGCCCCAGGUGGGGUGUGGGAGCCUGGCUGAGGGGGCCGAGGGGGCUGA